RNAcentral lists this ribosomal RNA (379 nucleotides) under uncultured eukaryote. RNAcentral's name for it is "partial 18S ribosomal RNA". It matches the Rfam family "Eukaryotic small subunit ribosomal RNA", at positions 592 to 976 of the family's 1831-position model. The record is from RNAcentral.
CAAUAGCGUAUAUUUAAGUUGUUGCAGUUAAAAAGCUCGUAGUUGGAUUUCGGAUGGGACUUGCCGGUCCGUCGUUUCGAUGUGCACUGGCCAGUCCUAUCUUGUUGUCGGGGACUAGCUCCUGGGCUUCACUGUCUGAGGGUCAGAAUCGGCGAUGUUACUUUGAGUAAAUUAGAGUGUUCAAAGCAAGCUUACGCUCUGAAUAUAAUAGCAUGGGAUAACACGACAGGACUCUGGCCUAUCGUGUUGGUCUAUAGGACCAGAGUAAUGAUUAAGAGGGACAGUCGGGGGCAUUCGUAUUCCGUUGUCAGAGGUGAAAUUCUUGGAUUUACGGAAGACGAACAUCUGCGAAAGCAUUUGCCAAGGAUGUUUUCAUUGA